RNAcentral lists this ribosomal RNA (550 nucleotides) under Herniaria glabra. Its description in RNAcentral is "eukaryotic LSU rRNA". The stretch from base 178 to 331 matches the Rfam family "5.8S ribosomal RNA". Lineage: Eukaryota; Viridiplantae; Streptophyta; Magnoliopsida; Caryophyllales; Caryophyllaceae. The record is from RNAcentral.
GUGAACCUGCGGAAGGAUCAUUGUCGAAACCUGCACAGCAGAACGACCAGCGAACAUGUUUCUAUCGGCACCUAAACGAACCCCGGCGCGGACUGCGCCAAGGAACAUGAACUCAAUGCGCCUCCCCCGUGCCCGGUUUACCGGUGUGCGGGCUUGGUGCCAUGUUUAACAAUAAACGACUCUCGGCAACGGAUAUCUCGGCUCUCGCAUCGAUGAAGAACGUAGCGAAAUGCGAUACUUGGUGUGAAUUGCAGAAUCCCGUGAACCAUCGAGUCUUUGAACGCAAGUUGCGCCCGAAGCCUCGGCUGAGGGCACGUCUGCCUGGGCGUCACGCAUCGCGUCUCCCCCUCACCCACCCGGGUGGGGAGGAGGAUGGCCUCCCGUGCCUCACCGGGCGCGGCUGGCCUAAAUAGGGAGCCCACGGAGCAGAGCUGCCGCGGCGAUUGGUGGCUCGUCGCGCUGCGCUGCCCUAAGGGAGCUCGAAGGACCCUGAACGUCGCCUCGUUGCGACCUCACCGUUGCGACCCCAGGUCAGGCGGGACUACCCGCU